CUAUGACAAUCCUGAAGUUGGAGUUCCCAGAUCUGCUACUGAGGAAGACAGAGACCUAGGAAAUUAUCUACCAAUCCAGAAGACAAAACUAUUAAAGCUGAAGAAAAAAAAAGUGCUGCUACAAAUUGAAAUCAGCUCUAAUGCCUCUGUGAGCUUCACCGGAAUGUAAGAGAUCUCUUAGAUGCAGAUGUGGAACUGCUUACUUCAGGCUCAAACGCCCAUUGCAUCAGUGGCAAGAGCAGAAACCCAUCUAGUUACCCGCUCGGCGUCUUCUGAUUUAUCUGAAGAAUUGGCAAGAAAUCCUCAUUCCUGUAUUCCCAGCCCGGCUGCAUUUCACUUACCAUGGAGCGGUCUCUUUACAAAUCACUGUCACAAGCACCUCUGACUGGCUGUGCUUUUCUGUGGUGAUCUGCAUUAGAUAGGCACCAAAUUCACAUUGCAGAAAAUAAAAAGGAGACCCAGAAGAAGGGGGAAGCAAUCAGCAGUAUCUGCUUCAGCAUUCCAAGUGACUCUGUCCCUAGCAUGUGUAUAAAAUCACAUGAUUUCAGUGACCAGGAGACUCUCACAGCUGUCUCAAAGACAGAAUGCAUGAAAUCUGGUGGGGGUGCUAUGGUAGGGGUGCGGGGGGGGUGUUUAAGUGU
This is a long non-coding RNA of Nannospalax galili (Upper Galilee mountains blind mole rat), 641 nucleotides long. RefSeq lists it as uncharacterized. The transcript is spliced from 4 exons. Lineage: Eukaryota; Metazoa; Chordata; Mammalia; Rodentia; Spalacidae. The record is from RefSeq and is a predicted model, not a curated record.